Molecule: long non-coding RNA, 712 nt
Organism: Humulus lupulus (European hop)
Lineage: Eukaryota; Viridiplantae; Streptophyta; Magnoliopsida; Rosales; Cannabaceae
Exons: 2
Source: RefSeq, a predicted model, not a curated record
GAAUAAUAUACUCUUAUUUGUAUUUCUAAAAUAAAUAAAUAAAAUAUAAGUGCCAAAUCCCUUCUCUCCCACCCUACCCGAUCAUACUUGCCUACAUGCUCUCUGCUCUGCUAGGCCCAAACGGCUGCCCUCCGAUGGUCGCCGGCCUCGCGAGCCCUUCGUUGCCGUUCUCCGCCGCGAGCAGAAGCCUCCAUGCUUGUACUUUCGGACAAGUAAAGGACUGUUGGGGAAUUAAACAAUCUGAGGUAUGCCCCUCAAUCUCUCGGAGCUGGUGGAGCGGUGGCCUCCCAGGGGUCGCGACGGUGGUCUCGGCCGAGGUACUUUUGGGUCUCGGUCAUAGAUGGUCUCGACAGAAGUGAGAUGCGUGGGUCUCAUGGCUGGUCUUGGCCGAGGUUUUCAUUGCUUGUGAAGUAAAUCUAAUGGUCAAGCAGACGAUCCCUACCGCAAACCAAAACCAGGGAUGUGACAUCUUUUGGAAAAACACUUCAACUCUGGCAUUUCUAUUGAUAUGGAUUAGUUAUUUAACUUUUCAUCCUUUCACUUGUCCUUUUUUGUUGCUGUAAUGCUUAUCGUUUGAGGACCUAUAUGUAACGACCCAAAUUUGCUAAUAAGCCUUAAUGGCCUUGAUUAGUGUGUCGGGAAGGCAUAAUUGGAUUAUAUGUGAUUUAAUGAUUAAAACAUGUUAUAUGAUUAUUUGAAUAAUUGUGAUGCA